RNAcentral lists this transfer RNA (72 nucleotides) under Alosa alosa (allis shad). RNAcentral's name for it is "tRNA-OTHER". Lineage: Eukaryota; Metazoa; Chordata; Actinopteri; Clupeiformes; Clupeidae. The record is from RNAcentral.
GCCUGUGGCCUACUGGUUAGGGCUUCAGACUUGUAACCGGAGAGUUGCCGGUUCGAACCCCGACCAGUAGGA